CAGGCUGUAGCGUAAUGGUAGCGCGCGGGGUUUGGGACCUUGAAGAGGGAGUUCGAUUCUCCCCAGCUUGAC
RNAcentral lists this transfer RNA (72 nucleotides) under Microbacterium phage Big4. Its description in RNAcentral is "tRNA-Pro". It matches the Rfam family "tRNA". From Rfam's summary of the family: Transfer RNA (tRNA) molecules are approximately 80 nucleotides in length. Their secondary structure includes four short double-helical elements and three loops (D, anti-codon, and T loops). Further hydrogen bonds mediate the characteristic L-shaped molecular structure. tRNAs have two regions of fundamental functional importance: the anti-codon, which is responsible for specific mRNA codon recognition, and the 3' end, to which the tRNAs corresponding amino acid is attached (by aminoacyl-tRNA synthetases). tRNAs cope with the degeneracy of the genetic code in two manners: having more than one tRNA (with a specific anti-codon) for a particular amino acid; and 'wobble' base-pairing, i.e. permitting non-standard base-pairing at the 3rd anti-codon position. Lineage: Duplodnaviria; Heunggongvirae; Uroviricota; Caudoviricetes. The record is from RNAcentral.